ACCUAUUCCUUUUAGCACCUUGGCUGC
Molecule: non-coding RNA, 27 nt
Filed under: Homo sapiens (human)
Lineage: Eukaryota; Metazoa; Chordata; Mammalia; Primates; Hominidae
Source: RNAcentral